GACGAACGCUGGCGGCGUGCCUAAUACAUGCAAGUAGAACGCUGAAGGAGGAGCUUGCUCUUCUGGAUGAGUUGCGAACGGGUGAGUAACGCGUAGGUAACCUGCCUGGUAGCGGGGGAUAACUAUUGGAAACGAUAGCUAAUACCGCAUAACAGUAGAUGUUGCAUGACAUUUACUUAAAAGGUGCAAUUGCAUCGCUACCAGAUGGACCUGCGUUGUAUUAGCUAGUUGGUGGGGUAACGGCUCACCAAGGCGACGAUACAUAGCCGACCUGAGAGGGUGAUCGGCCACACUGGGACUGAGACACGGCCCAGACUCCUACGGGAGGCAGCAGUAGGGAAUCUUCGGCAAUGGACGGAAGUCUGACCGAGCAACGCCGCGUGAGUGAAGAAGGUUGUCGGAUCGUAAAGCUCUGUUGUAAGAGAAGAACGAGUGUGAGAGUGGAAAGUUCACACUGUGACGGUAUCUGACCAGAAAGGGACGGCUAACUACGUG
RNAcentral lists this ribosomal RNA (495 nucleotides) under uncultured bacterium. RNAcentral's name for it is "partial 16S ribosomal RNA". It matches the Rfam family "Bacterial small subunit ribosomal RNA", at positions 28 to 507 of the family's 1533-position model. The record is from RNAcentral.